Molecule: small nucleolar RNA, 106 nt
Filed under: Gossypium hirsutum (cotton)
Lineage: Eukaryota; Viridiplantae; Streptophyta; Magnoliopsida; Malvales; Malvaceae
Description: Plant small nucleolar RNA R71
Rfam family: Plant small nucleolar RNA R71
About the family: R71 is a member of the C/D box family of snoRNAs containing the C (UGAUGA) and D (CUGA) box motifs. Multiple nearly identical copies of this snoRNA have been identified in Arabidopsis, and it is thought to function as a 2'-O-ribose methylation guide for 18S ribosomal RNA.
Source: Rfam by way of RNAcentral
AUCCCAUGAUGAGGACACUUACGAAGAAAUUCCUUGAAUCUUUCCUAUGCCUCAUAUAAGGACUCGUCAUCCAAUUGUUGAAAACUAGUUAUCUCAUUUUGUAACU